RNAcentral lists this ribosomal RNA (1379 nucleotides) under uncultured bacterium. RNAcentral's name for it is "bacterial SSU rRNA". It matches the Rfam family "Bacterial small subunit ribosomal RNA", at positions 18 to 1392 of the family's 1533-position model. The record is from RNAcentral.
CCUGGCUCAGGAUGAACGCUAGCUACAGGCUUAACACAUGCAAGUCGAGGGGCAGCAUUUUAGUUUGCUUGCAAACUAAAGAUGGCGACCGGCGCACGGGUGAGUAACACGUAUCCAACCUGCCGAUAACUCGGGGAUAGCCUUUCGAAAGAAAGAUUAAUAUCCGAUAGUAUAUUAAAACCGCAUGGUUUUACUAUUAAAGAAUUUCGGUUAUCGAUGGGGAUGCGUUCCAUUAGUUUGUUGGCGGGGUAACGGCCCACCAAGACUACGAUGGAUAGGGGUUCUGAGAGGAAGGUCCCCCACAUUGGAACUGAGACACGGUCCAAACUCCUACGGGAGGCAGCAGUGAGGAAUAUUGGUCAAUGGACGAGAGUCUGAACCAGCCAAGUAGCGUGAAGGAUGACUGCCCUAUGGGUUGUAAACUUCUUUUAUAUGGGAAUAAAGUAUUCCACGUGUGGAAUUUUGUAUGUACCAUAUGAAUAAGGAUCGGCUAACUCCGUGCCAGCAGCCGCGGUAAUACGGAGGAUCCGAGCGUUAUCCGGAUUUAUUGGGUUUAAAGGGAGCGUAGGUGGAUUGUUAAGUCAGUUGUGAAAGUUUGCGGCUCAACCGUAAAAUUGCAGUUGAAACUGGCAGUCUUGAGUACAGUAGAGGUGGGCGGAAUUCGUGGUGUAGCGGUGAAAUGCUUAGAUAUCACGAAGAACUCCGAUUGCGAAGGCAGCUCACUAGACUGCAACUGACACUGAUGCUCGAAAGUGUGGGUAUCAAACAGGAUUAGAUACCCUGGUAGUCCACACAGUAAACGAUGAAUACUCGCUGUUUGCGAUAUACAGUAAGCGGCCAAGCGAAAGCAUUAAGUAUUCCACCUGGGGAGUACGCCGGCAACGGUGAAACUCAAAGGAAUUGACGGGGGCCCGCACAAGCGGAGGAACAUGUGGUUUAAUUCGAUGAUACGCGAGGAACCUUACCCGGGCUUAAAUUGCAUUUGAAUAAUCUGGAAACAGGUUAGCCGCAAGGCAAAUGUGAAGGUGCUGCAUGGUUGUCGUCAGCUCGUGCCGUGAGGUGUCGGCUUAAGUGCCAUAACGAGCGCAACCCUUAUCUUUAGUUACUAACAGGUCAUGCUGAGGACUCUAGAGAGACUGCCGUCGUAAGAUGUGAGGAAGGUGGGGAUGACGUCAAAUCAGCACGGCCCUUACGUCCGGGGCUACACACGUGUUACAAUGGGGGGUACAGAAGGCAGCUACCUGGCGACAGGAUGCUAAUCCCAAAAACCUCUCUCAGUUCGGAUCGAAGUCUGCAACCCGACUUCGUGAAGCUGGAUUCGCUAGUAAUCGCGCAUCAGCCAUGGCGCGGUGAAUACGUUCCCGGACGUUGACACACCG